Molecule: RNase P RNA, 383 nt
Filed under: Klebsiella quasipneumoniae subsp. similipneumoniae
Lineage: Bacteria; Pseudomonadati; Pseudomonadota; Gammaproteobacteria; Enterobacterales; Enterobacteriaceae
Also listed under: 1 other name
Description: RNase P RNA component class A
Rfam family: Bacterial RNase P class A
About the family: Ribonuclease P (RNase P) is a ubiquitous endoribonuclease, found in archaea, bacteria and eukarya as well as chloroplasts and mitochondria. Its best characterised activity is the generation of mature 5'-ends of tRNAs by cleaving the 5'-leader elements of precursor-tRNAs. Cellular RNase Ps are ribonucleoproteins.
Source: RNAcentral
GAAGCUGACCAGACAGUCGCCGCUUCGUCGUCGUCCUCCUUCGGGGGGAGACGGGCGGAGGGGAGGAAAGUCCGGGCUCCAUAGGGCAAGGUGCCAGGUAACGCCUGGGGGGUGUCACAGCCCACGACCAGUGCAACAGAGAGCAAACCGCCGAUGGCCCGCGUAAGCGGGAUCAGGUAAGGGUGAAAGGGUGCGGUAAGAGCGCACCGCGCGGCUGGUAACAGUCCGCGGCACGGUAAACUCCACCCGGAGCAAGGCCAAAUAGGGGUUCAUAAGGUACGGCCCGUACUGAACCCGGGUAGGCUGCUUGAGCCAGUGAGCGAUUGCUGGCCUAGAUGAAUGACUGUCCACGACAGAACCCGGCUUAUCGGUCAGUUUCACUC